UUAGAAUGAGCUUUCGUGUGCAUGCACACUUCUUCAGAUACACUGAAACAGAAGUGAAACAGGUGCCCACUCUCAGCACUUUUGGAAGGGGAAAUCUAAAUACAGUGGUACCUCGGGUUACAGAUGCUUCAGGUUACAGACGCUUCAGGUUACAGACUCCACUAACCAAGAAAUAGUACCUCAGGUUAAGAACUUUGCUUCAGGAUGAGAACAGAAAUCGCAUGGUGGUGGCACGGCAGCGGCGGCGGGAGGCCCCAUUAGCUAAAGUGGUACCUCAGGUUAAGAACAGUUUCAGGUUGAGAACGGACUUCCAGAAUGAAUUAAGAUUUUAACCCGAGGUACCACUGUAUACCCAGCAUUCAGAGAUAUGGCAUUUAAUAUAAUUUGUUUACAUUGGUCUCAUGAACUUAACCCUCCAGCCCCAUACAGGGUUAUAACUCUUUUUGCUAGCCAGCUGUUAAGAAAUGUAAAAGAGGCCAAAAAAUGGGUGCUUGACUUCCUUUAUAUCACUUGCUUUGGCAGGGGAAGUUUGGAAAAUUUUGGAAUUUUGUUGGUAUAAAUCAAAACUGAAUUAGGAACCUUCAUUUUCCGUGUAAACAACUACCUUCCCUUUACUAAUAGUCUGCCACCAAGAUUUGGUCAGAUUUGACAUCCCCACUGCAGCAAAUCAGUCAUAAAUUCCCAACACAGCAUUUAUAUUUCUUUGUGGGGAUUUUAAAGCCUGAACUGAGGCAACUGCUGAGGGUCUCUUGCUACUUUUAGGCUUAGACUUUGAAUAUAUUUUCCUGAUGUCUCAUUGUUCUUUGGACAAUAUAACGUACAGGGCCUGAAAUGGCUGGAAUUUGUAUUCUAGUGUAAUGUAUUUAUGUUUCAUGGGAGUCUUGUAGACAUUUCUAUGGGGUCAGUAUACUAACAUACAACACCCCAUAUAGUUUGGGACCAGGUAACCUGAGAGGCCACCUUGCUCCUUAUAUGCUCAGAAGGUCUCUGUGUUCUUCCAGGGAGACUCUCCUUGAAGGCACUAAAAUAUCAGAAGCUGUCUCCACAGCAACUCAGGCAAAGACUUUCAGUGUGGCUGCCUCUGUUUUGUGGAACGGCAUCCCUGUUGAGAUAUGACAGGCUUUGACUAUUUGAAGUUUCUGGAAACAAUUGAAGACAUUUUUGUUUCAACAUUUUUCCAUCUGAAGGAGGAAGUGAGGGGGAUAAAGAUCUCUGCCUCGAGAGUUUAUUUGUAUUGUUUUAAUGUUAUUUUUAGUUUUUAUUAUGUGGUGGUUAAUCAACUAGAGACCUAGGUGACCUUAUUACAGUGAUAGCUAGAUAGCUAGAUAGAUCGAAUUGCAAUAGAAAAUCAACCUUUAAUCCAAUUUAUGAAUUUCAAACAGAAAAUAUGCCAGUGAAGGCUAAAUUUGUUGUGGCUAUGUCAGCUUUUUCUCCAUGAUCAACUGCUAAUUUCCGAGUUUUCAGAUAUUGCUGGAAAUAUAUGUUUCUGGGAUGGUCCUGGGCAGAAAGCCAGCAUUUAGAAGAGUCUUGCCGCAGAAGAGCAAGAAGUCCGUGCUAGUCCAGCAUGCUGCUUCUCAAAGUAGCCAAGUUAGAAAAUCCUAGGUGGGCUUGAAGGCAGAAGCUCUCCUUUUGCUAUCUGCCCCCAAUUUUUGAUACUUAGGAUAUAUGCUGUGUCUGAAGAGGGAGGUUUAAUUUAGCUGUCAUGUCUAAUAGCCUUUGAUAGGCUUGUUAUCUUGCGAAUCCAUCCAGUCCUUCUGAAACAGAGAAGGGAAACCUGCUGUGCUUCUUCAGAUGUUUCUGGAUUCAAACUCCCAGUAAUCCAAGCAGACAGCAUGACCAAUGGUUAUAGAUAAUGGGAGUCUACCAUGAUUUAGUACCAUUUUGGUUUAGGUUCAGGUUUCAGAAGCAAAUCAGCUUUUGUCAUCCUGAAGGAUGAAAUUUGUAUGGGAAGAGACCAGGGGUGAGUGACCAUGUUACUUUUUGUCAACCUCACAAUGGCUUUUGAUACCCUCAGUCAUGGUAUACCUCCGGACAGCCUCUCUCGGGUGGAUUUUGGAGGCACUCUUUUGCAGUAGCUCCAAUCCUGCCUAUGGGGUUGGGUCCAGAGGGCAGCAUUAUUGAGUGUGUGCCUCUUGGCCCAAUGGCAUUUGUGUCAUGGGGUAUAACAGGAUGAGAUGUAACAUUUAUAUGAAGGCACUGGGAGUGGUCAUUAGGAGUUUGGGGACAAGGUAUAACAAGUAUGCUGAUUACACAGAGCUCUUAUUUCCCCAUUACAUCAGAGUGAGAUUAGACCAUGCAGCAUCUGGGCUGGUGCCUAGAUGCAGAGGACUGCUUGAUGAUGGCCAGCAAUUAAAAUUACAUAGCUUGGCUAGAGGGAAACACUGUGAAUGAGUGGUUCUCAUGUUGGGGGAUAGGUUAGAUGCCUUUUCUGGACAGGGUUGCACUCUGAUUGAAAGAGCAAGUAUGCAAUCUGUGUCUACUUCUGCAUCUGACUUUGCUCCUUGUGGCUUGGACUGCCUUCAGCUGGUGAGCCAGCUGUGACUGUUGCCGGUGGUUCAUGCACUGGCAGUCUCAAGACAGAGUGCUAUAAUGCAGAAAAAACUCUUAAGUGCUGGCUGCCAUCAACAUAUAACAACUGUGUUGAGGGACUGCUCUGGCUGCCAGCACACUACCAAGCUCUAAACAACCUGGGAUCAGUAUAUUUUUAAAAGAUCACCUUAUUCUGAACAGCUUUUGCAUAGUGCCACUGAGGCAUGUCUGAUCAUGCCCGGCAGCCUCUGGCUAUCCUGAACAAGAAAUGGUCUGCUUAGUGCAGUGACACUGGUGUUAUGGAACUCUUUACCUGAUGGAAUCAAGCUGGGGCUGUCGGUAAUGAGUUUUACACAUCAAGUUGAGGUUGGGUUAUUUCAACAAGGCUUUUUAUGAAAACAGAUUUACUGUUUUUAUAAUCUGCUUGGCAGAUGACCAUUCAGUACUUCUGUUUCUUUGGUGUAUUUUUGCUGUGAUGUUGCUUGCUGUGUUCUUUUUCAUUUUCGCUGAGAUCUUGCACGUUGCAUAAAUAUAUAUUUUAUAUGAGCUUGCCGAACAGAAAUACAAUCCUCUUUUUUUCCUCCUCCUCCUCCUCCUCCUCCUCCUCCACAUCUGGUGGGCCACAAGUUCCCCAUCCUUCUUUUGCUGUUGAUAGCAUCUAUUUAUUAUAUUAACUAUAUUCAUAGGCCGUUGAACAUCUAAAAAUCUUUAAGUGGUGUACAAAUGGAUAUAAGGCAUGCAAUGGCUGCCAGCAAAUUAAAUCAGCUUAGAAUACAGUUCAAACUUUGCUGUGAUCAGAUACAGUAAAAUGCAUGACCAACAGCUGUUCUAGGAAAGAUGGGGCAAGGGGAACAUGGUAUUUAGCAUGCACCAAGUGUUAAAGCCUAGUAGCAACCACUAUAUCAUGGGGCAGUGAAUUCUAUAAGUGUUGUGUUGUGUUAAAUGCUUCCAUUUAAAAUCCAUGCUCAGGCAAUGCCUUUAUUAGGACUAAUCAAAAUGUUGCAAAAUAGCAAGCAAAACAUUGCAAAAUAGUGAGAAUAUGUUGAAGGACCGUAGCUCUGAGGCAAAGGGCCUGCUUUGCAUGCAGAGAGUCCCCAAUUCAAGCCCUGAUGGGACUAGCAGGGAAUAUCCCAUUUGAAAUCUCAGUGAGUCACUGCCCAUCAGAGUAGACAAUACUGAGCUAGAUGGACCAGUGAUCUGAGUCACUGAGAUGCCUAUGUUCCUGCUAAGCAAAUGUUAAGGAUAAGAUGGGGGAAGAAUGCUGGUUUGAAACCCAAACCAAAAAGUCUGAAUUGAGUCAAUGUCUCAAGGUGGAGUGUGGGAGAAAAUGGCAGGUUUAGGGUGCAACUCUGUGGGUCCCUGAGAGGGCAUCUCAGCAUACAUUGGAUGUUGUAGACCUCUCCUGAAGGCCCCCCCUGCCCCUUAGUGGGUUGUGGCUUUUUUCUUUCUUUUUUCGUUCUUGGUUCAGUGAUGUUGCCUGCUUUUAUUUUGUGUAUGUUCUAUUUGUGUCGGGGUGUGUAUAGGUGUUCUACCUGGGUGCUUCUUGGCGGGGGCGGGGGGAGAUUUGAGCAUUUACUGUUUUUCUUCUGUGAAAUGAGUAUUUGCUGGUGCCAACCACAUAUUUUUUCAGAUAUCCAGUUGAGCCCCUGGACCCCCAAAAGGUUGAGGAUCCCAUCACUAAAGUAUUCCUUUGGAGAGACUAUGACAAUCAAAACGAGCUCAACAUUGUAUUGCAGGCACUGGAUAAUUGCUAAUUUCAACAUCUUCUUUGCAAUUAGGUUAUCUGAUUCAUCUGAAUUAAUUGCUGACAAAACAAAUUUCUGAACAUUCUGGUUGUUUCUGUGUUGUUUUGAUACCCUUCUGUUUCCCUGGCUGCUGCUGCUACUUCCUGACAUUAUUUUUCUUCUUCACCUUUACUGCCGUUGGCCUCAUUAGCCUUCACUGUGCCUUCAUUUGCCCUCAGUUUCAUCAACAGGGCAAUCCUAGAUGUCUACUGAGAAAUAAACUCCAUUGAGCUCAAGGCAGCAUACUGACAGGGGACCUUCUUCCCACAAGCAGCAGCCCUCCCUGCUCCAGCCAAAUGGCAAACCCAAUAGGACCAGCAGCAGCAGAAUGAAGGAUCCUUCGGCAAUAGCUUAUGUUUGCAGAUGUUUGUUACUAAAGCACCAGAACAAAAUAACAUUGUGGCAAUUUUAUGUACCCCCUGCCCCCAGACUGCUUUUCUGCAGUGCUUUAUACCAAAGGGUACAUUGAAGUAGAGGGGAAAUGAAGACAGAAAUGAACGGAAGGAACGGAAGCCUGAGCUGAAUUGUGCAUAGGGCACUCUGGACAACACUGGGAAAUCAUCAUUAAACUCUUCUUUAUACAGCACAUAUUCUAUAGUAAUGGCCGGUACCUUGUAUAGCUUUAAAAUUUUAGACCAAUACAUGGUGACUAUGCUCUGCCUUGAUGGCUGGAGGCAGUAAUGCUAGAAAUUGCAGUAGUGUGGUUGCAGAAACUGCCAAUUGCUAGAAAUUGCAAGGGUGCUCAGCAGGAGGAGAGAGGGUUUAAAUCCUACUUGUAAGUUUCUCACAGAAAGCUGGUUG
This is a long non-coding RNA of Podarcis raffonei (Aeolian wall lizard), 5114 nucleotides long. RefSeq lists it as uncharacterized. NCBI's taxonomy places the organism in Eukaryota, Metazoa, Chordata, Lepidosauria, Squamata, Lacertidae. The transcript is spliced from 2 exons. The record is from RefSeq and is a predicted model, not a curated record.